RNAcentral lists this ribosomal RNA (213 nucleotides) under Triticum aestivum (bread wheat). RNAcentral's name for it is "partial small subunit ribosomal RNA". The record is from RNAcentral. Lineage: Eukaryota; Viridiplantae; Streptophyta; Magnoliopsida; Poales; Poaceae.
AUGGUGUUCGUCGCCGCCGUCAAUGGCCUUCGGCCUCGAUCUGCAUGUUGGCUGGAUACGGCGUGGUGGGGAGGAGGUGAGCUGGUCGUGGUGGGGAGGAGGAGCAGCUGUGGCAAGGAGAGAUUGCCACUGGGAAUGCAAACCGCAAUGGAAUCCAUCCGCAUCGACGUUGUUGAAAUAGAAGUUGGCCCUGCGGUGAAUUCUUACACCUGA